CUUUGUUCUAUCUAAUUCAAUCUAUCUAAUUAACAUCUGGAAAGUAAUACAGUAUCGUGAUAUUGAUAACGCAAGCAACACAGUAAAUUUGGAUAAGAACAAUUGUGAUAUCGAAUCUUAUUGAUAAAUUUUGUUAUAAAAUCGUUAGAUAUUUACGAUGCAUUUCAUUAAAUUAAUGCACAGUUUAAAGCAAGUUUUAUAUUCGUUUUCUGCUAUUAUUGGUUUUUUUCUAUGCUUAUCAGUAAUACUACCAAUUAGUAAAGCGCAUAUUGAAUUUUAUACGAAAAGUACUACUGAGGAAAAUGUACCAUUUGAUGAUAUCAAUGAAAUAUAUUUAAAUGUAUUUCUGAGAGAAGUUGCAGACAUAAUAAUCAAUGUUUCCAUAUUUAUAAUUAUAUGUUGCUCUGCAAUUAUUGCUGUGAUAAUUACUCUAUGUGCUUGUGAAACGUUCUGUCCAGAUUAUAUUACGCCCAUCAUAGAAUUCAUAGAUGUGUUAGGUAUAAGUCACAGGUUUAGAAAUUACUUCCGCCGGCUUUUUCGCGCGCGUCGAGAGCCUCGUCGUCCGUCAGAUUUGAAUGUUUAUUUUAAUGCAGGCCGCCACUCGUCAGAUGAAGAAGAAGUAGAACGUUAUUAAUUUGGAAAGUUAACAUGGAUGGUUUGUACACGUUAUGUAGUAAAAUAUUACUUAUUUAUGAUAUUAAUAAGAUCUCGUAAGUAUGUCAUCAUGUUCGAAUCUCAAUUUCAAGUUAUUCUGAUAAUGUGUACGUUGCUCCACGAUUAAUUGUUAAGCAAGAAAAUAUAUAUUAUAUAUAAUUAUGUAAUAAUAUAAUCACAA
This is a non-coding RNA of Nylanderia fulva, 835 nucleotides long. NCBI's taxonomy places the organism in Eukaryota, Metazoa, Arthropoda, Insecta, Hymenoptera, Formicidae. The record is from RefSeq and is a predicted model, not a curated record.